Oncorhynchus tshawytscha (Chinook salmon) is the source of this 1128-nucleotide long non-coding RNA. NCBI's taxonomy places the organism in Eukaryota, Metazoa, Chordata, Actinopteri, Salmoniformes, Salmonidae. The record is from Ensembl.
GUGUAGUGUUGUCUCUCUUUAUGUAGUGUAGUGUUGUCUUAGGUCUCUCUUUAUGUAGUGUAGUGUUGUCUCUCUUUAUGUAGUGUUGUGUUGUCUCUCUUUAUGUAGUGUAGUGUUGUCUCUCUUUAUGUAGUGUCUCUCUUUAUGUAGUGUUGUCUCUAUGUAGUGUAGUGUUGUCUCUAUGUAGUGUAGUGUUGUCUCUAUGUAGUGUAGUGUUGUCUCUAUGUAGUGUUGUGCUGUCUCUCUUUAUGUAGUCUUGUCUCUAUGUAGUGUAGUGUUGUCUCUCCUUAUGUAGUGUAGUGUUGUCUUAGGUCUCUCUUUAUGUAGUGUAGUGUUGUCUCUCUUUAUGUAGUGUAGUGUUGUCUCUCCUUAUGUAGUGUAGUGUUGUCUUAGGUCUCUCUUUAUGUAGUGUAGUGUUGUCUUAGGUCUCUCUUUAUGUAGUGUUGUGUUGUCUCUCUUUAUGUAGUGGUGUCUAUGUAGUGUAGUCUCUCCUUAUGUAGUGUAGUGUUGUCUUAGGUCUCUCUUUAUGUAGUGUUGUGUUGUCUCUCUUUAUGUAGUGUAGUGUUGUCUCUAUGUAGUGUAGUGUUGUCUCACUUUAUGUAGUGUUGUCUCUCUUUAUGUAGUGUUGUGUUGUCUCUCUUUAUGUCGUGUUGUCUCUCUUUAUGUAGUGUUGUGUUGUCUCGCUUUAUAUAGUGUUGUCUCUAUGUAGUGUAGUGUUGUCUCUCCUUAUGUAGUGUAGUGUUGUCUUAGGUCUCUCUUUAUGUAGUGUUGUGUUGUCUCUCUUUAUGUAGUGGUGUCUCUCUUUAUGUAGUGUAGUGUUGUCUUAGGUCUCUCUUUAUGUAGUGUUGUGUUGUCUCUCUUUAUGUAGUGUUGUCUCUCUUUAUGUAGUGUAGUGUUGUCUCUCCUUAUGUAGUGUAGUGUUGUCUUAGGUCUCUCUUUAUGUAGUGUUGUGUUGUCUCUCUUUAUGUAGUGGUGUCUCUCUUUAUGUAGUGUAGUGUUGUCUCUCCUUAUGUAGUGUAGUGUUGUCUUAGGUCUCUCUUUAUGUAGUGUUGUGUUGUCUCUCUUUAUGUAGUGUUGUGUUGUCUCUCUUUAUGUAGUGUAGUGUUGUCUCUCUUUAUGUAGUGUAGU